GACUGUGCUUCCCCAAUUCUCAGUGUGAAACCACCUAACAAGACUCAAGCCUGAUCAGGUGGGCACAGCAGAUUUCAAAGGAAUAGAGCCUCCACCUGGGAGUCGGUGAUUUCACUCUCCUCUGGGGUUGAAGAGGGCCAUCUGAUGAUGUGGUAGGACAACGCAGCUAUUGGAGCUUUGCCACAGAGCAAGGCAAGUCUGAACUUAAGGGUUUUCCCGGCAGUGUUGCAAAUGGAAGCUAAGUAGAAAAGGUACCUCUCUGCAAGCCACAUCAAAGGUCCACAUUUGGUCCUCCACCUGUAUGGGCACCAAGCCACCCAGCCAAAGACAGGAUGGAAGUUCCAACAGAGAGUUACAGAGUUUCAAGGAAAAGAAUGAAUAUCACCCAAAGACUUUGCAACCUGCCCAGGGAAAGAGUUAGCAUAUUUGCAGUUGCAUGCAAGACAGUUGUGUCAUGUCACAUGGAGGU
Canis lupus familiaris (dog) is the source of this 469-nucleotide long non-coding RNA. RefSeq lists it as uncharacterized. NCBI's taxonomy places the organism in Eukaryota, Metazoa, Chordata, Mammalia, Carnivora, Canidae. The record is from RefSeq and is a predicted model, not a curated record. The transcript has 3 exons.